CAGAGCGAAAAUGGCGUAGAGCGGAGGGUGUGUGGCGAAGGGGACGAGGGGGACGAGGGGACCUUCUUCUCUUCUCUCCUCUCCUCUCCUCUCCGGCGUGUAGGGGGUGAGAGAGGGGGUCCCGGAGGUAUUCGGUUUGUUCUUUUCUAAAUGUGUCCCCAGCGCGGCGCGGUCCCUCUUUACAGAAUAAAUCCGGUACACGUCCAGUUUGGGAGACCUAAAUGUGUCACCGUAGAAGAAGACUCCCCCCCCCCCCGGCUUUUGUUUACCAUUGUGUGCAGCUGCAGCUCAAACCACAGCCGAAAUGUCCCUGCAUCAUUUCGGAUCAACUCACACCAAGGGGUGGGUUUUCCAGUCAAUGCAGUCGGGAAACCAGCUGAAGCCCAAACUGGAGGAACAUCUCCCUUCAGAUCAGCCCCGGCGCCAUUGACGGAUCGCCCCCACCACCACCACCACCACCCAGACCUGCGGUAAAGAACUAAGAGUCAUCGAGAAGAUGACCUCUUUUGGGGUUUUGGGACACGGGUGUCCUCCUUCCUGCUGUCGCUGGGACAUUGGCCCUCUUGCCUCCACAGCAUCCCCUCUUGUCCUGGCCCCAUUUCUGCCACAUGACCAUCAAUGAGGACAUCUUCCAAGAUUUUGGGCCAGUCUGACUUCCAUCACGCGCGCACACCGACUAUGUCUAGAUGUAGCCUAACGCUGGCUGAAAAGCCACGGGGUUUCUGCACUCGCUCUAUUUGUCUGAAAGUCUCCAUGAUUUGGGCAUUUUCAGUCAGGUUUGGGUUAGAUUCUUUUCUGGCUGCAUGUAAACGUAGUAACUGAUUUUUCUUGCGUAAGUACAAAAAAAAUCCCCACUUUCUUUGGGAUAGGAUCAAAGCUGUUUGAUAAUGAACAAAUUAACUGCUCCUGUUUUCUAGGGAGGCAAGUAAAGACACAAGAUACUGUAGCAAAGAUCAAGGCCUGUGAUUAAAUUAGAUGCAAAGGGUGUUUAAUUUUUUUUUUUUUUUUUUUGCACUACCUCAUUGCCAUAACAAGUCCAGAAAGGGAGUGUGAUCAGUACAAGUAGCUUAACGGUUGUCCAGCGCCACAGCAGUUUUAUAUAUUGUUCCGGGAGGAAUUUUGGUUUUAGUUUUAGAGGCUCAAUAGGUGGGGAUGUCAGCCCACAAGCACACGAUGCACAUUUCACUUUCAGUUCAGCCGUUUUGACAGAAACACUGACUCACUCAAACUGUGGUCUCCUAUGCAUUUGUUGUAAAGGAAGGUCACGAUAUGGAAUUUUUAAUCCAUGCUCUCAUUUUUGCAUUUCGGAUUUGUAGUGCUCUCCUUUGUCAAGUCUGCAGGUUUAUUCACAAAUUGCAGGUAGAGACAGAAUAGCUAAUGUUUCCCUUGUGACUUAAUGUUUGAGAUCCCAAACAUUUGGCAACUUAAGGUAUUUAAAGUUCGUCUUUUAUUACAAAAGUCUAGUCCAGUUUUCCUCCCUUAAAAUACUCUUCAUUUGGUCUGUCUUCCCCCCUUUCCCCUGCGUAUAGUCUAAUUUGAUCCAUUUCAUACUUUAACAUGUUCCCAUUAUUGUUGUUUUCCCCCCCUUAACAUUAGCUUUCAUUUGUCCAUGUUCUAUAACCAUAUGAGAUGUAUAAACAGACCUUUUUUACAUGCUGCCAGUAGAGACAGAAUUGACCGUUUGAUUGAUUUUGUUCAAUGAAACAUGAGACAAAAUAAUCCAAAAAUUUAGUAAAAACAUCAUUUUUUUUGUCUCUGACCUGCUGUUUCGAUGUGUCCAAUAAGUUUAGAGACACCAGUGCUGAAAUAUCAGCUUUAAUUGUCCUUGUAUUUGUCCUUAUCUGAAGGAAACCCUGAUCUCAUUUUUCAGUUUUCUUAGAUAACGUUUAUAUGAUUUUAAACCAAAAAAAAAAAAAAAAAGACAUCUACCGGGAUUCGUGCAAUAUUUGAUCUUAACUGUCAUGUUGUUGACCAAACUGUAUAUUGUAUAAACAAGUGACAAGUUGUUUGAAAGCAACAAAAUCACCAAUGUCUUCCAUUAAGAUAUGUAUAGACUCGUGCAUUAGCUUAUUUAGCGGGACUGUGGUACCAACAUUAUAGUAGCCAUGCAUGACCAGUAGUGAUGCUUGCUUCAUAAAGAAUAGUGAAAUCGAUUUCUAGCCGGAGCUCAAAACUGUGGAAACCAUUUUCAGUAAAAUUAAAGGGUAGUAGGCUGACGUACUCGACCUUUUAAAUACACCGCGUCUAGAUACAGCUUUGCCCUAAAAUCUUAGUGCAAGAUCUCCUCUUUAUUCCGCAUCUAGGUUGUGUAAUGAAAAUACAAAUGAAAUACGAACCAAUCAGGAUAUGCAGUUAUAAGUAUUGAUUCAAGUCCUUUUACAAAGGCGUAUAUGCUCAGCAUAAGUUAGUGCUUUCUUUCAGACCUGCUGCAUAUUCUUAGGACUCUUGUCUUUUUUUGAAAGAAAAAAAAAAAAAAAAAAGCUUAAGAAAUGUCCAAAAGGUACUCGUGCACUCUCAAGCAUCAAAAGAAUUUGGUAGUUAUUAAGUGACAGCAAAAAAGCUCCCAAGAAACAAGUCUCAGACGUGACAAUGAUAGAAACCUUCAGAGAGAUGUUAUAUAAACAGUAGUACUUUAAUCCUGGAUUCGGAUCUAAUUGGUAGGGAUCCGACGUGGUGUAUGAGUCCUAGAAUUAAGAUCCCACCAUGACAUUGCAUUGUACAUAAUACCUCAUAAUAGUUUUGGGAUUCAGAGCGUUAUAUUUUAAUCCAUAAAAUUGUAUUUGAUUAGAGUUUUAGAAGCAAUAAUCUACAAUAAUGCAUGAGUUUAGUGCCAGGGUGUAAGUGUUAAAAGGAUUCUGUGACGUCACGUGGAAAGGAUCCCGCCCCCCCCUUUUACGCUUAUAGUAGCUAGCUAUCCAUUGGUCACUUUUCUGGGGAGUCGUAUAAUAUUUGGCUUUAGGAUACAGUGUUACUUAUGAAGGUUUAGGAUACUUCCUGCAGAACAAGGUGUGUGUGUGUGUGUGUGUGUGUGUGUGUGUGUGAGGACUGCUGUAGCAUGAUGGUAUUACAUUGACAAAUUUAACUAAAUGCUUCUAUUUUUCAGAGAGUAUUUUCCCUGCCUUGUAUCCAAUCAGUACAUGGGAGAUGCUUUGAAAUUCAAUUCUCGUAGCAUUUUACAUCCUCAGAACCCACCCCUUCCUUUAGAAAUGUAGACUUUCAGUAACUCUGUGGCUGCAAAGUACUUACUGAACGAACUUGACACUUGUUUGAAAAGCACUUUCUCUCUAUGUACUGACUUGCACCAUCAUCAUCACCAUCCUGUCUUGAAUACCGUGUUCUAAAAACCCUGUAAUGCUCUUUGUGGGGAUUUAUAAUCACAAUUUAUAAGCAAGUAGGCAUCUAGCAACAUGAAUAUAUGGGUUUAAAAAAAUAUGCAUGACUUAGUAAAAUAAUGAAUGAUUUGUAUUGCAUGCAAUAAUCCAACUUUGUAAUGUGAAUGAGUAUAAUUAGGAUAUUGAAAUGUUCAUAUGAGAUGUUCUGUGACAACUUGGGGACGGUCCUCUGACACUACAGCAAGCAUGUUGAAGUAGUUUUGAUCAUCAGUUGUGGUUUUUACAGACUAAACAGCACCAAAAAAGAUGUAACGGAGAGUAGUUUUAAGUGUUCCUGCUCUCACUCUCUGUUGUGUCAAACAAGACCAUGGCAGUACUGCCACAGUGCAGCUGAAAAAACACUGAUCAACCUUUGUUCCCAUGAAGAAAAAAA
Molecule: long non-coding RNA, 3765 nt
Organism: Xiphias gladius (swordfish)
Lineage: Eukaryota; Metazoa; Chordata; Actinopteri; Istiophoriformes; Xiphiidae
Exons: 2
Source: RefSeq, a predicted model, not a curated record